Molecule: ribosomal RNA, 492 nt
Filed under: uncultured bacterium
Lineage: Bacteria
Description: partial 16S ribosomal RNA
Rfam family: Bacterial small subunit ribosomal RNA
Source: RNAcentral
AGUGAACGCUGGCGGUAGGCCUAACACAUGCAAGUCGAACGGCAGCACAGUAAGAGCUUGCUCUUACGGGUGGCGAGUGGCGGACGGGUGAGGAAUACAUCGGAAUCUACUUUUUCGUGGGGGAUAACGUAGGGAAACUUACGCUAAUACCGCAUACGACCUACGGGUGAAAGCAGGGGAUCUUCGGACCUUGCGCGAUUGAAUGAGCCGAUGUCGGAUUAGCUAGUUGGCGGGGUAAAGGCCCACCAAGGCGAAGAUCCGUAGCUGGUCUGAGAGGAUGAUCAGCCACACUGGAACUGAGAGACGGUCCAGACUCCUACGGGAGGCAGCAGUGGGGAAUAUUGGACAAUGGGCGAAAGCCUGAUCCAGCCAUAACGCGUGAGUGAAGAAGGCCUUCGGGUUGUAAAGCCCUUUUGUUGGGAAAGAAAAGCAGCAGGUGAAUACCCCGCUGUUCUGACGGUACCCAAAGAAUAAGCACCGGCUAACUUCGUG